CUGUCCUUCAUUACAAAAGCUGUGUCUAAAAUGGCAAGUGAUGUGUGGGAUUAACAUAAAAACCAACACAUUUGGCAAGCGAUCAGAAUCAAGGGAUACAGCUGCAAGUAAUGCACAUCACUCGAAAGUGCUUCACACUUUCCAGACACUGACAACAGUAAGAAAUGUACCUGCGGCACGCCUCUCAAAGAUGACACUAUGGAUAUGCACAUUGCGUAUCUUGCCUCUGGGUGGUGCAAACCUUGGGGCGAGUGUGUGCCGCAUGCUGCGGAAGAUUGGGACGAAUGGACUUUGGUCCAACUACAGUCAGAAGGGGAGAAAAGGAAAGAAGUUUGAGAACCUUCCCACAAGCAGAUCAGUCAUCCAUAAGUUGAACAACAAAUCAUUUUUAGUGUGAUACAAAUCUGAGAACCUUCCAUUGUCUUUAUUGGCUGGGGAUGGGAGCAAGUUAUUCUUAAAUUCAUAAGGAGCAUGUGUGAGGAACCAUCCCAAGGCCAAAAUAUCAGCAUCGAGUUAGAGAUUGGCUAGACACUGAAACAUGCACCAAACAAAGCAGGAGGGAAGAACAAGACACCAACCGCUUCAGAAGUGACUAGAGAUGGAGUUCAGCUCUGAAGAUGAGGACAAUGAUUAAUGAUUUGUAAUUCCAUAAAACAAGAAGUGUAAAGUGCUAAAUAAAUGUCAUUAACAGA
Long non-coding RNA from Acipenser ruthenus (sterlet), 692 nucleotides. RefSeq lists it as uncharacterized. The transcript has 4 exons. NCBI's taxonomy places the organism in Eukaryota, Metazoa, Chordata, Actinopteri, Acipenseriformes, Acipenseridae. The record is from RefSeq and is a predicted model, not a curated record.